CACAGAGCAGAGACGAGCCACUGAGAGAAGGCAGACUGCUGGGGCGUGCAGACAGUGCCGCUCCAGACAUGCUAAUUUCGAGGAGGGUUUUUUAAAAGUGUUCUUCCGCACCCUGUAAUUCACCCUGAGCUGAUGAGGCAGGGAGGGAGGCAAGGAAAUAACAUAGCCCAAACCUUCACUGAAUUGCUCUUUUCAAAAUGUAUAUUCUCCACUUUCGUCUUCCCGGUAAUUUUAUGCAGCAUCAAAUAGCUGUAACGUGAGCCUGGUGUAACCACUCCAGGGAACGUACGAAGGGCUGUAGACCACCCCGAUCAGAUAUAUGUAUAGCCGGAUCUGCCUCAUAGAGUGGUGACAACAAGCAGUAAAAUAUUAACAGCAACACAGUAAUAAUAACAUUAUAAAAUGCAUUAAUCUCUGGGACUGUCACUGCACCGGAGAGCCUGGUUACAGCCGAUUUCAGCAAACGCUUGCUCCAGGCGCGGGGCUCCUCUGAUCCCCAUGUCAAGGAGGUGGCUGCAGAGGGGUCUUGGUGACCCAUGGCGGGGCGUUCGGCAAAAGGCACUGGGUCUGGAUGUACUGCGUAUAAAGCAAUACAGUACCUAACUUACUAUUCAUCGCACAACUUUUCAUCCUUUUGCUAUGAAAUGUUCCCAACCCUUGCUAACUUCUUAGGAAGAGUUGAACGCACUCUACCUGGAAGCUGACCAUUAGAGGGGGAAUCGGGUGCUUACGGCGACACCCAGGCAGCAAACAGCAACACGCGACAGCUGUUUAAGGACACGAAGUGAGAAAGUGCUCUGCCUCUUAUGGAAUUUAGGUGAACGGACUGUAAUUACCCAAAUAUUUAUGGGUUCUCUUUAUUGUAUGAGUCACUGAGGGCUUGUGAGGGGGCAGACAAUUUCCAUUUUGUUUAGGGCAGAAAUAUCCCUGGAGACCAGGCUGAUCUAUGGAGCUGCCAUAUCAAACCCUCCUAGGAAAGGAAAAAAAAAGAUAAUGCAUUUAUUAGUCAGCUCACAUUGGACUGCUCUGUGUAGAAAAGGAAAGAACUCAACUGAAAAAUGCUUUUAAAACCACAAUUCCAUAAGCAUCUGUCUCAUUUCAAGUACGGCUGGGGCCUUUCUGUCUCCUGAAAGGGAAGGAGAGGGUGAAUUCAAAUGAUCUGUAGCUCUGGAGUGCUGAAGGGGGGGAAAAAAAGUCCUUUCCAAAUAGCAGAGCAUCCCUGAAGACAGUGACCAGGCGCAGAUAACCUGCUCCAGCGAGCCGCGCUUUCCCCCAAUGCUCAAGCCCUUCCCCAAAUGACUUGUUGUGCCAUCCCUCUGCUCUCCCUGAGGCUGAGAUCCAAGCUAUAAGAAGUAACCAGAAAAGAAACAAUCAUUCUUGGACAUCAGGCGAAUGGAGAAAGACGGGAAAAGGGCAUGGCGGCUAUAAAUCCAGGCUCUAUCUAAUCUCUGAUCUCGACGAGGAGAGAAUUAACCAACUGAGUGUGUGACUAGAAAGGAGAAGGCUGAAGAGAAGGGACCACUUUAUCUGAGUGUGGAGUGGAGCAGCAUAGGAAUAAGUGAUGCUGCCUAGGCUGGAUGGCACUGGAGCUAAUGAAAAGCCUCACAGAAACAAUGGGCUCUCCAGAGAAGAUAGCGCCUCAUUGACAAGGUGAUCUGCCUUUUCCCAGGGAGUGUGGACAGGAUGCUCCAGCGAGCAAGGCACUGGCACGCUCUCCUGGCUGCUCUGGCUGGGAGUGAUGCUCACGGCACCCACUGCGAGGGGAUUCGCUGUGCAAGAUGCCCAUCUGUUACCCUCAGCCCGCUGGGUUCCUCCUCUCUGGUGCUCCCGGACCGAGUCAGCAUCCUCUGGUGCUGUCCUUCCCCGACAUGAGAUGUAAGACCUCCCAGAUUUGCCUUUGAGCUGCUGGCCAGGAGGAAGACCUCCCUGGCAUGCCAUCGCGGUGCAGAGCUGCUGCCCAGCCCCAGCCCGCCGCAGGGAGACCUGCCUCGGAGCCGCACUUGGUGCACGGGAGCUUGCAGUAGCAGAGUCCAUUCUAAAUACGCAUCCCUUAGAGGAUUCCUGCAGUCAAAUGGGACCUGAUAGGAUAGCAAAACCCUCGGCUGCAGCUACGAGGCGUCACUUCUGCCCCGUAGCGUGAUCGCAUGCACAAACAUAACACGGAUGUGCCCGGGUCAAGCCACACGUGUGUUCCUUGGGGACUAAAUGUGAGAGGCAGAGAGCGGCAGCUGCUUGGCAAUCAGGCCCCUGACUUCUGUUUUCUGUUAACACGCAACCUUGAAAGACUCGCUGUCCUUCUUCCUCCUCACCCCUCUCCACAGCCACUCUCCUCCCGCCCCCCGCUUCCUCAGCACGCUUUAUCUAUUACGGCUGUAAAUCCUUUGCAGCAAGCCUGCUGUCUCUCUGUUUGCACAGCACCUUGUGCAGCGGGUCUUACAGGUGCUGCUGGAAUAUAAACAGCGAUACAGCUUUAAUUAUAAACCCUGCAGGGAGAUGGGCAGCGCAAGCCUACAGGUUUGCGUCUCAAUCAAGAGACUCCACAGGGGCCACCUUCUCGGUGCAGCCCCAUUUUAGUGUCUGUUGGGCGGCCGGUAAGAGAGGCUAGUUAUGCUCCUUUCUUUUCACUCUCAAUAAUUAUAGGUCUCCCAGGAAAACUGGCCUGAGAGUGGAAAUUUUAUAAAGGUUUUAAAAGAUUUUAUUAGAAAGGAUUUGGUUCCUGUGCAAUUAUUAGUUUAACAAGGCACUUUGCUCGCCUUCUGCACUAGAACUGUUAUUGAU
This is a long non-coding RNA of Chroicocephalus ridibundus (black-headed gull), 2778 nucleotides long. RefSeq lists it as uncharacterized. The record is from RefSeq and is a predicted model, not a curated record. NCBI's taxonomy places the organism in Eukaryota, Metazoa, Chordata, Aves, Charadriiformes, Laridae. The transcript is spliced from 3 exons.